RNAcentral lists this ribosomal RNA (450 nucleotides) under uncultured bacterium. RNAcentral's name for it is "partial 16S ribosomal RNA". It matches the Rfam family "Bacterial small subunit ribosomal RNA", at positions 354 to 796 of the family's 1533-position model. The record is from RNAcentral.
GUGGGGAAUAUUGGACAAUGGGCGAAAGCCUGAUCCAGCCAUGCCGCGUGUGUGAAGAAGGUCUUCGGAUUGUAAAGCACUUUAAGUUGGGAGGAAGGGCAGUAAGUUAAUACCUUGCUGUUUUGACGUUACCGACAGAAUAAGCACCGGCUAACUUCGUGCCAGCAGCCGCGGUAAUACGAAGGGUGCAAGCGUUAAUCGGAAUUACUGGGCGUAAAGCGCGCGUCGGUGGUUUUGUAAGUUGGAGGUGAAAUCCCCGGGCUCAACCUGGGAACUGCCUCCAAAACUGCAUGACUAGAGUACGGUAGAGGGUAGUGGAAUUUCCUGUGUAGCGGUGAAAUGCGUAGAUAUAGGAAGGAACACCAGUGGCGAAGGCGACUACCUGGACUGAUACUGACACUGAGGUGCGAAAGCGUGGGGAGCAAACAGGAUUAGAAACCCGAGUAGUCC